Molecule: ribosomal RNA, 252 nt
Filed under: uncultured bacterium
Lineage: Bacteria
Description: partial 16S ribosomal RNA
Rfam family: Bacterial small subunit ribosomal RNA
Source: RNAcentral
UACGAAGGGGGCGAGCGUUGUUCGGAAUUACUGGGCGUAAAGGGCGCGUAGGCGGCGAUCCGAGUCAGAUGUGAAAGUCCUGGGCUUAACCUGGGGACUGCAUUUGAUACUGGAUUGCUUGAAUUCGGGAGAGGAUAGCGGAAUUCCCAGUGUAGAGGUGAAAUUCGUAGAUAUUGGGAAGAACACCGGUGGCGAAGGCGGCUAUCUGGACCGACAUUGACGCUGAGGCGCGAAGCGUGGGGAGCAAACAGG